GGAGGGUUGUGAUAAUUGGUAGUCGGGCGGUCUUGAAAACCGUUGGGGAGUAAUCCCUUCAGGGUUCGAGUCCCUGACCCUCCGCCA
Molecule: transfer RNA, 87 nt
Filed under: Bacilli bacterium
Lineage: Bacteria; Bacillati; Bacillota; Bacilli
Description: tRNA-Ser
Rfam family: tRNA
About the family: Transfer RNA (tRNA) molecules are approximately 80 nucleotides in length. Their secondary structure includes four short double-helical elements and three loops (D, anti-codon, and T loops). Further hydrogen bonds mediate the characteristic L-shaped molecular structure. tRNAs have two regions of fundamental functional importance: the anti-codon, which is responsible for specific mRNA codon recognition, and the 3' end, to which the tRNAs corresponding amino acid is attached (by aminoacyl-tRNA synthetases). tRNAs cope with the degeneracy of the genetic code in two manners: having more than one tRNA (with a specific anti-codon) for a particular amino acid; and 'wobble' base-pairing, i.e. permitting non-standard base-pairing at the 3rd anti-codon position.
Source: RNAcentral